Molecule: non-coding RNA, 291 nt
Organism: Paramuricea clavata
Lineage: Eukaryota; Metazoa; Cnidaria; Anthozoa; Malacalcyonacea; Plexauridae
Source: the annotation of a GenBank genome assembly
CUAUUCUAUUGAUUCCGUAUGCUUCUGUAGACUAGAAUAAUGGCAAGUAGGCAUGUGAGCUUUCCAAAGUUCUCAGUUGGGUGGUAACGAUGUAAACAACGUUAGCUAAAUUUGUCUGUUGUGAUCGAGUGCAACAACUCUCCAUGCUCUAGCUCUAAAUCAGAGCAAGCACAAGCAUUGGACAGCGAUUCAUCACGUUCUUCAGCCACACACACUUCACACACUAAGGAAUUGUAUGUUGCGGAUGGUGAUGCAUCUUUCAAAGUGGUGAUUCAAAGUUGCACGAAAAAG